RNAcentral lists this ribosomal RNA (502 nucleotides) under Klebsiella pneumoniae. RNAcentral describes it as "partial 23S ribosomal RNA". It matches the Rfam family "Bacterial large subunit ribosomal RNA", at positions 1331 to 1819 of the family's 2925-position model. Lineage: Bacteria; Pseudomonadati; Pseudomonadota; Gammaproteobacteria; Enterobacterales; Enterobacteriaceae. The record is from RNAcentral.
CGCUCGCCGGAAGACCAAGGGUUCCUGUCCAACGUUAAUCGGGGCAGGGUGAGUCGACCCCUAAGGCGAGGCCGAAAGGCGUAGUCGAUGGGAAACAGGUUAAUAUUCCUGUACUUGGUGUUACUGCGAAGGGGGGACGGAGAAGGCUAUGUUAGCCGGGCGACGGUUGUCCCGGUUUAAGCAUGUAGGCUGGUUAUCCAGGCAAAUCCGGAUAACCAAGGCUGAGGUGUGAUGACGAGGCACUACGGUGCUGAAGUAACAAAUGCCCUGCUUCCAGGAAAAGCCUCUAAGCAUCAGGUAACAUCAAAUCGUACCCCAAACCGACACAGGUGGUCAGGUAGAGAAUACCAAGGCGCUUGAGAGAACUCGGGUGAAGGAACUAGGCAAAAUGGUGCCGUAACUUCGGGAGAAGGCACGCUGGUGUGUAGGUGAAGUCCCUGCGGAUGGAGCUGAGACCAGUCGAAGAUACCAGCUGGCUGCAACUGUUUAUUAAAAACACAGC